Molecule: long non-coding RNA, 1270 nt
Organism: Bos taurus (domestic cattle)
Lineage: Eukaryota; Metazoa; Chordata; Mammalia; Artiodactyla; Bovidae
Source: Ensembl
GUUCCAUAUUUUUUUUAACCUAAUGAGGCUUUCUUUGUAGCUUAGUAUUUUGUGAAUUUUCUCUGGGUACCUGACACUCAUGUGUGUCUGAUAAUAUCAGACCUACCUUAUUAAUUAUGCUGUUGAGUUCAUCCAACUCCUUGUUUACUUACUUGUAGAGUUUUUCGUAAUGUGAAGUCUCUCUCUGUUUUUUGGCUGCACCACCCACUUGGCAUGUGGGAUCUUAGUUCUCUGACCAGGGGUGGAGCCCAAGCCGCCUGCAGUGGAAGCAUGGAGUCUUAACCACUGGGGUGCCAGGGAAGUCCUGUAAAGUCCCUCUUUUACUUUGCUGUCUCAGCGAGAGAAAGACGGCCCCCUGCCAGGACUUGCCAGUCUGAUUGUCAUCCACUCCAACUCUUCUGUUUCUCUGAGGCAACGUGGUUUCGAUCCCCGACCUGGGCUGAUUCCACAUGCCACAAGCAACUAAACCUGUGCACCUCAACUACUGAAGCCCCCGCACUCUAGAGCCUGCACACAGCAGCAAGAGAACCCACCACAGUGAGAAGCCUGCAAACCGCAUGAAGAGUCGCCGGCACUCCCGCAACUAGAGGAAGCCUGCACAGCAGUGAAGACCCAGUGCUGCCAGAAAUAAAGAAAUGAUUUCUAAGAAGGGGAAAUAAAGUUGUUUAGUCUGAUGAGACAAGCAAGGCAGACAUCAGCUCUGCCCAUGAUGGAAUAACAGGGUCUGCAUUCACCCUCUCACUUUAAAUGACUUAAAAAAUGGGCAAAGGGGAAUUCCCUGGUGGCCAAGUGGUUAGGACUCCACACUUUCACUGCUGAGGGCCCACGUUCAAUCCCUGGUCAGGGAACUAAGAUCCCGAAAGCUGCACAGCAUAGCCAGAUUUUUUGAAAAAAAGGCAAAGUAUAUAAAACAAUUGUUUUCAGUUAUUGAACAAUAGAUAGCACAGAAGGAUAAUACCUGAGAAAAGGGAAAAGAAUGUGUUCAACCCUAUUGCUGCCCCAAUUUGCUGUCUGGAUGGAGUUCCCAGGCUGUGGUUCAGUGAGGGAGACCGGACACACAGGCCACUGGGUUUCUUGAGGAGACAGAGUUUAGAUGAAGAGAGCUUGAGUUUACAGGGCAAAAUAUUGGAAGGAAUGCUGCACCACAGAGACAGAGAAAGAGCUCCUGAAAUCUUCAAAGGGUUUCUCUCGAGUCUUUGGCUGAGUACUUAUCAUCACAUGUGAAUGAAGAAACUCCUCAAGGCUGGAUAAUGAACCAUCAGAAAGGAAC